CCGUGUCCGUGCGCCUCACACAAAGCUCUCUGCUCCUGCGACCGAGCCUAUCUCCUCCUCCUCCUCCUCCUCGCCCCAACUCAACGCGAGCAAACCCUAGCCUAGCCGCCAUGGCUCGGCGCCUCCACCCUGCUGCACCUUCUGUGCGCGCCUCUCAUCCUAGAGAAGAGACUGACUCUGUCGGUCGCUGGCUAACGCCGGACGCCUCUCAUCCUCGGAGGAAACUUGCGGUGACGCGCCAUGGUGCUGGGUCGAUCCGGCCCUCCGUAUCAGGAUAGGCGAUUUGCCGGCCGGCGGACGAGCAAGCAGCGGCCGUAGAGGAGAAAGAGGACCGGAUCUCCCCUCCCCUUUGCCCACUGUUCCUCUCUCUCAUAAGCCUCAGUCAGAUCCGUCCGUCUCUCAUCUGCUGUUUUGCUUUCGAGUCUUCUACUCCAUGUUUCUCAGAUCUGCGAACGAUUCUUUCCUUCCGACGACUUGCAUCUGGGUUGCUGUUAUUCUUCUUCUUUUCUCUCUCUUGUUCUUUCCUCUCGCUAGAGAGAAUAGAAAGAAACGCGCCGGCCGUGCUUCAGAUCAGACCCCUCACAAGUUUUCUCCGCGGUGCCUCGCAAGUUAAAAUAUCGCCAGCUGAUGAUUUACAUCUGCUUUUUGCGAAUGCGUUUUUCUUCUUCUUCUUCCUUUGCCCUCUGUUUUGUUCUGUUCUUCUCAUGUCACAGACAGAUCCGUCUCUCGUCUCUAGUUUUUGAGUGUUUGAAAUUCACUUUUUCCCUUUGUUUCUUCACCUUUCAGACCCGCAGUCCUUUUUUUUUACCUCUCUUUGGGGCUAUAUAUACAGGCAGGUACCCUGCGUUCGUCAACACGAUGGACGGGCAACACCUUUCUCGACAUCAAGGGCGGAAUGGAUGGCAAAGACGGCAUUGAAUAAGAGGAAGAGGAGGCAACCGUCAUUCCCUCGUGCCUAAUAUCUUGCUAAGUAACCUUUCCUUUUACUUUGUUAUUAUUGUAAUUGGUGAAUUUCUUGGUCACAUAAUGCUUUCCGGUCUAUGAAUUUCUUGAUAGCUUCACAUCAGAACUCUGAAAAUAUACAUCCAUCAUUUGCAUCUAAAACCAAUUUCAUCCAAAGAUAGCACAUCGAUUAUAUCAUCUCCAACAAAAUCCAGUUUCCAGUAUAAACUACUCUCUCUGUCCGGGUUUAUUUGGCCCCUCGUAUUUUGGGUCAAACUUUGACUAACAAAAAUACGAUUUAUGUGCUACACAAAGUAUAUCAUUGGAUUUCCAGCCGUAUAACUUUGUGACAUAGUUUUAUUUUAUUAGUUAUAAAUUUAUAGUCAAAGCUUGGCCCUAAAUACUAGGUGGCAAAUAAACCCAGACCGAGUGAUUAAUUGCUAGAACACGCACAAAUAGUGCACCAAUAAGGCCUCCUUUGGUUUACAUGAAGUUUGCAGGAUAGGGUUCCUACAGCAAAUAUCCCCUAAGAGCCCUUUGGUCUGUAGGAAUGAAUUGCUAUUCCAAUGCAAAAUUGGUUCCUAUUCUUCAUAUUUCAAAGGAAUAAAAAAAAAUUAUCUCCGACCUUGGGCCUCUUUGAUUCACAUGAUUUUCAAAGCACUGGGAUAGGUAAUAUGUAGGAACAGGGUGGCAUGCCACCUUGAAUACUACAGGAUCUGUCAGGAUUUUUGAUUGUGCAUAGGAAGAACGUAUGAUUCUUUCAAAGAGGUUGGAGUAGAUGAAUUUUUUUCCAUGAAAUUUAGUGCGAAUGAAUCCUAAAAAAAAGAAAAAUCACAUGGUUUGCAAUUCAGUGAAUCAAAUAAACCGCAUAGGGAAAAUUCCUAAGGAUUUGAAUCACAGAUUGCGCAUUUCCAAUACUUUCCAAGCACAAUCCAAUCCUUAACAUUUGCCUGAAAAUAAGAUUGCUGCCAAACCAUCACAGGUAGCACAUUUCCAAUGAUUUCCAAGCACCAUCCAAUCAAUAACAUUUGCAUGAAAACCAUAUUACACUCCCAAACCAUCACAGAUAGCACAUUUCCAAUAGUUCCCAAGCAUGCUACGGACUUUUGCAAAUAUAGAGCAGUUAAAAGUUCACAGACAUGACCCCAACCAUUAGGCCUCGCUUGGUUUAAACGAAUUUUGUAGCGCAUUUUCUAGACCGAAGGCUUGAAUAGUGGCACCAUAGGAAAAUUUCCUAUUCCUAUGUGUUUCCACUUUACUUUGAACCAAAAGAGUACUAGGUUUCUGUAGGUUUGUCAGAUCAGCGACAAACAGGAUAAAAGCAUUUAUGACUGCUUAGCAUGACACACUUAUUAUCAUCAGGAAUGAAAAUAACAAAAAAGUUCAAAAAGCAUGCAGGGAUUUCUCAUAAGAAUUAGCACAAAUGCCUAGAGGGAUCAACAUAGACUCUCCCAAGCUCACAGGCAGAGCUCGGGACCAUGCAUGCAUUCUGCAAAUCUUUAUCCCCCCAACGAUGCUAUGUGCUUGAUGUCUUGUACAAGGUGGGUUAUGUGCUGCUGUGUUGUUUCUGUCCAGUGUGAAAAAGUGGAAUGCCAUAAAUAAAAUAGAAGAAUGGAAGUUGAUCCCCAGGAAAUAAAAGAAUAGGAAAACAAGCAAGUUGGCAGUAUUAUUGUAUUUCCAAGGCUGUAGCUGUACUGAUUUCUGAAUGUUAAAUUACUCUAUCAGUCUUCGUUACCAUCUAUCUAUUAUAUACCUAUGACAGAAGACAUGAUGACGUAGCCAGAAGACUAGAGUAUCCGUGUUACUAAUAGCAUCUCAAUCCUUAAGGGAUGCAAUCUCUGUCCUUCCUGAGUGUGCAGGCCAUGGUGGCGGCUACUGGCGGAGCCGAUGUGCCGCUAAGGUAUCUCCGGCCAUAGGCUGUAGCGGAAGCGGUCACCAGUGACGGUGAGGCUCAGAUACCCAUCAUCGACUACCCCGUGGUGCAUGCCUCGACAGUCCCUGGUAGGACUGGGGCUUGUUCCAGGUAAUGAAGGCCAGCAUCCAAGAAUUCUUUCAGCUACCCGGAGCACCCAAGAAUGAAGCAAAGGAGGCUGACUGUGAUGUACAUAUUCCAUAAAUAAAAGCCAGUGAAACUGGUAUCGUAUCACAGUUAAUUAACCACAGCGACAUGGUGGAGGUAAUGAAGGCUAGCAUCCAAGAAUUCUUUGGGCUACCCAUAGCACCCAAGAAUGACCCAAAGGAGGCCUACUGCCAUGCCAUGUAUAUGGAGUAUUCCAUAAAUAAAAGCAAGGAAAACUGGCAUGGUAUCACACACAUGUUGGAUUAGGCUAGUUGGUGAGUUCCAUAAUAUGAUAGCGCUAACUAUGUCAAAAUCAGCAGCCUUGACAGCCUACUUAUGGAAAAAUCUGUGCAUCUUAUCCCCAAAAUUCACCCACUAGCCUAAACAUAGCGUUGAAAAGUAACAGAAAAGACAGGGUAGGAAAUGUUGCAAAUCCAUGCCUUUUUAGACUAAUAAUAAGCAAGUAGCAGUAGUAGUAGGAUCUCAGUGUGAAUAGAAUACCACCAACCAGAUACACAUAGCCAUCAUCAGGUCUGAGAUGACACAUGACAUGACAUGGCGCAGAGCAUAUGUAGUCUGUCGCAUCGAAUUAUUAUUACAGAAAUUUCUUGUCACGGGUGGAAUCCAUCCCAUGAGAGCAGAGCACGGAGUAAACAGGAGUGCAUCAGA
This is a long non-coding RNA of Triticum dicoccoides, 3670 nucleotides long. RefSeq lists it as uncharacterized. The transcript has 4 exons. Lineage: Eukaryota; Viridiplantae; Streptophyta; Magnoliopsida; Poales; Poaceae. The record is from RefSeq and is a predicted model, not a curated record.